This 503-nucleotide long non-coding RNA is filed under the name Malus domestica (apple). RNAcentral describes it as "long non-coding RNA (MDOM_LNC009530)". Lineage: Eukaryota; Viridiplantae; Streptophyta; Magnoliopsida; Rosales; Rosaceae. The record is from RNAcentral.
UUGCUUACUGUGUAAGCUACACAUAACCCUCCUAACUAACUUUUAACAGAAAUAUUGAUGACAUGGCAGAUUAUGUGGCAUUCACUUGAGUCAAUAUCAGUCAACAAACGGUGAUCAGCAUUGACCUCAUCACUAGAGCUGGGAUAGAAGAGAAGUAGAGGGCACAAAAUUCAGGUUGAAACUGAUCGAACUUGUUAAGUGGGGAGGAGUUGGAGAGGAUGGUUUAAUUGUUUCCUUUUGAAUGGUUUCAACCUUCAUCUCUGAAGCCAUCUUUUAAACGACUUCCCACGUGUUAUAUUCAAGUUUCUUUAACUGUCAUGUCAACAAACAUAUUGACAGCUCUUGUUACAGCAAAUUAAGUAGACCAUAUGCCGCCGGCGGAAAGAGCAUCAAGGAAUAUAUGAUUAGAUUUCACUUGACUCUUGUUUGUAUUUCAACUUAUACUGAAAUUAUUUGAUACGUUGUUUGGAAUACUAUGCCACCUCCUAGAUUACAAAAUUUUC